GGAUCCGCAUGGAUAUGUUGUUAAAGGUUUACCGCCUUGGGAUAGGCUUGCGUCUGAUUAGUUAGUUGGUGUGGUAACGGCACACCAAGGCUACGAUCAGUAACUGGUCUGAGAGGAUGAUCAGUCACACUGGAACUGAGACACGGUCCAGACUCCUACGGGAGGUAGCAGUGAGGAAUAUUGGGCAAUGCUCGAAAGAGUGACCCAGCAACGCCGCGUGGAGGAUGAAGGUAUUCUAUAUCGUAAACUCCUGUGAGAGCAGACGAAAGACAGAUUAUUAAUCUGGAUGACUGUAUGCUCAGAGGAAGCCCCGGCUAACUACGUG
RNAcentral lists this ribosomal RNA (325 nucleotides) under uncultured bacterium. RNAcentral describes it as "bacterial SSU rRNA". It matches the Rfam family "Bacterial small subunit ribosomal RNA", at positions 182 to 507 of the family's 1533-position model. The record is from RNAcentral.